This 448-nucleotide ribosomal RNA is filed under the name uncultured bacterium. RNAcentral describes it as "SSU rRNA". It matches the Rfam family "Bacterial small subunit ribosomal RNA", at positions 26 to 518 of the family's 1533-position model. The record is from RNAcentral.
AGAGCGAACGCUGGCGGCAGGCUUAACACAUGCAAGUCGAGCGGGCGUAGCAAUACGUCAGCGGCAGACGGGUGAGUAACGCGUGGGAACAUACCUUUUGGUUCGGAACAACACAGGGAAACUUGUGCUAAUACCGGAUAAGCCCUUACGGGGAAAGAUUUAUCGCCGAAAGAUUGGCCCGCGUCUGAUUAGCUAGUUGGUGAGGUAACGGCUCACCAAGGCGACGAUCAGUAGCUGGUCUGAGAGGAUGAUCAGCCACAUUGGGACUGAGACACGGCCCAGACUCCUACGGGAGGCAGCAGUGGGGAAUAUUGGACAAUGGGCGCAAGCCUGAUCCAGCAAUGCCGCGUGAGUGAUGAAGGCCUUAGGGUUGUAAAGCUCUUUCGCCCGCGACGAUGAUGACGGUAGCGGGAGAAGAACGCCCGGCUAACUUCGUGCCAGCAGCCGC